GUGUUGUAUGAAACGACAGAAGUUUAGCAGUCUCCUUGACAAGUUCCUUAAAGCCUUCAUUCAUUCGUUAGCUAACAUUCCUUAACCAGAAAUGUUUUUUU
This is a small nuclear RNA of Diabrotica virgifera virgifera (western corn rootworm), 101 nucleotides long. NCBI's taxonomy places the organism in Eukaryota, Metazoa, Arthropoda, Insecta, Coleoptera, Chrysomelidae. The record is from RefSeq and is a predicted model, not a curated record.